Molecule: ribosomal RNA, 250 nt
Filed under: uncultured bacterium
Lineage: Bacteria
Description: partial 16S ribosomal RNA
Rfam family: Bacterial small subunit ribosomal RNA
Source: RNAcentral
UACGUAGGGUGCGAGCGUUAAUCGGAAUUACUGGGCGUAAAGCGUGCGCAGGCGGUCUGUUAAGACAGAUGUGAAAUCCCCGGGCUUAACCUGGGAACUGCAUUUGUGACUGGCAGGCUAGAGUAUGGCAGAGGGGGGUAGAAGUUCCACGUGUAGCAGUGAAAUGCGUAGAGAUGUGGAGGAAUACCGAUGGCGAAGGCAGCCCCCUGGGCCAAUACUGACGCUCAUGCACGAAAGCGUGGGGAGCAAA